UACCCGCAGCACAAGUGGUGGUCAUUAUUAUUGGGCCUAAAGCGUCCGUAGCUGGCGUGUUAGAUGCCUGGGUAAAUCGAUGCGCUUAACGUAUCGAAUUCCGGGUAGACCGGCACGCUCGAGACCGGGAGAGGUGUAGGGUACUCGGGGGGUAGGGGUAAAAUCCUGUAAUCCUCCGGGGACGACCAGUGGCGAAGGCGCUACACUAGAACGGCUCUGACAGUGAGGGGCGAAGCCCUGGGGCGCAAACCGG
This 253-nucleotide ribosomal RNA is filed under the name uncultured bacterium. RNAcentral's name for it is "partial 16S ribosomal RNA". It matches the Rfam family "Archaeal small subunit ribosomal RNA", at positions 474 to 727 of the family's 1478-position model. The record is from RNAcentral.